This 459-nucleotide ribosomal RNA is filed under the name uncultured bacterium. Its description in RNAcentral is "partial 16S ribosomal RNA". It matches the Rfam family "Bacterial small subunit ribosomal RNA", at positions 338 to 795 of the family's 1533-position model. The record is from RNAcentral.
CCUACGUGUGGCUGCAGUGAGGAAUAUUGGUCAAUGGUCGGGAGACUGAACCAGCCAAGCCGCGUGAGGGAUGAAGGUACAGAGUAUCGUAAACCUCUUUUGUCAGGGAACAAAGGCGGGGACGCGUCCCCGGAUGAGUGUACCUGAAGAAAAAGCAUCGGAUAACUCCGUUCCAACAGCCGCGAUAAUACGGAGGAUGCGAGCGUUAUCCGGAUUUAUUGGGUUGAAAGGGUGCGCGGGCGGUCUGUUAAGUCAGCGGUCAAAGCCCGGGGCUCAACCCCGGACCGCCGUUGACACUGGCAGUCUCGAGUUGGAGAGAAGUAUGCGGAAUGCGCGGUGUAGCGGUGAAAUGCAUAGAUAUCGCGCAGAACUCCGAUGGCGAAGGCAGCAUGCCGGCUCCACACUGACGCUGAGGCACGAAAGCGUGGGUAUCGAACAGGAUUAGAUACCCCAGUAGUC